UGUGUACAUUUGGUGUUUGGAAUCCGCGUGUCCCACUCCCCCUACCAAAACCCUACAGCUUCACAUUUACUCUCUUUCUCAAGACAUAAGUCUCAAACAAGCACUUAAUCACUCUCAAGCAAUUACCUAAAUCCAACCAUCGAAUCAGCAAUUGAACAAUCGAUUUUCAGUGGUUUUCCAGCGAUGGCGACGACGCCGGUCCAGUGAUUACAUAGUGGAGAUGAUCAAUGAUGGGAUGCAAAAGUACAAUCUGCAAUUUCAUGGACCUGCUGAAAUAAGUUAUUAUCAUUUAGAUGAAAUUCAUGGUUGAUAUAGAACUUUGGAUCCCAUAUGCUUUCUAUCCAUAUGCUGUUGUUGAGGAAGAUUCAGGCGCUGGUGCUAGAGUCAAGCCACUCACGAUAGCCAUUCGACUGAAAUCAGCCGUUGAAAUCGGCCAUGUGGUGUAUAUCUUCUCUUCCACAUUGAAGAUUUCUCACCGGAUUUUCAACCGACAACUGUCAGUUUCAAUCUCUGCAUCCAUCAUUCAUUCAUUUAAGGCAUCCUUUGUUGGAGCCAUGGCAAUAACUGACUUAGUCAAAACAACCCUAGGGCCAAAAGGAAUGGGCGUUAGAGGUUGUGUGUCGGGCUCCAAAGAAGAUAACCUAACCUAUGUGCAGCUGAGCGGACUUACUCUAUAAGUUGUAACAAGGUUGGAAAGCAACAAAAAAACAAUAAAUUUCACGUCCGCUUAAAAUGUUUGUACCAUGGCUCGCAAUUUGAGGGCGUCGCUAAUUUCACAAUUACAUGGUACAUGCAUACAGCUUCCUACAGAUACAAAGAUACCUUCAUCUGCCUACAUCAAAGCACGAGGUUAAAGACUCGCAACGUGUUGUUUAGAUAUGGAUGUCACCUAAAACUACAGCUCUUUUUUAGUGACCCACUUCAAAGGAAAUAAUUUAUUCCUAAAAUAAGACUUGAUCAUUGGUUGGACUUUUUUGCAUCAUGAAGUAUUCAUGAGUUUCUAUAAUUUUUUGGCUAAAACUAUGAAACAUUGAAUGUAUCUGAAUGUAUCAUUAGCUUUAGAUAGCAUGAAUUUGCUAAAACUCUCAACUCAUUUCACCUGCUCCUCUUACAGCUAAUAUUUUUGGCAUGUUUGGCCUGAUUGAGUUAAAGCAAAAGACAAAUUGACCCAUGAUAAGUGAACAGAGAUCUUUUGUUUUAGCCAUGAAGUUAUAGAAAUGGUUGUACUUCUUUUCCUCAAAUGCUAUUUUUAGUGUUACCUUGCAUAUUGCCCAUCCGUUUUUAUUUCAUAUCUUCUAAAGUUUAAAAGAAAUCACUUCUAUUUUCAACACAGUGAGAUCUAAACAUUUUUAAUGUAGAAGUGCUGCUCGAGAUGUAUGCGAUGCAAGUGAAGAACAAACAAGCUAUGAAUGAACUAAGCAAAAACUCAUUGACAAAGACUAUUAUACCUUUUUCAGGGUUUCGGAGUUCGAUCUUUGGAAUAGCUAUCGGAAUUACAGAGUUGGCUUACAUCGAGGCAGGUGCAGGUGCUAAUGCCAAUGGAAUCUAUAUACCAGAUCAUUGUUCCGCAUGUGACCGGAGGCACGUGUGUCUAAAUACCAAAUUAGGCUUACAAACUUGCUGAAGACAUUAAGAAAAAAUGUGGGAUUAGCAAGCAACUUCAAUUAAGGAUGGUGAGAAAAGUACACGACGUUGUUUCGAUUGAUUACACUCUUACACCGGGGCACUGGUACCCUGUGCAAUAUGACGAUUGCUUUUGUUUGGUCAGGUUUUUUGAUGUUGAAGAGAGUUUGUCUAAAUCGUUACCGGAAUUCAUAAGCCUCAUUUGUUUUUCAAUGUCAUAUUUUUGGGAUUUUGGUCAAAUAUAAAAUAAUAACAUUCAUAAGCCACAUCAGAGUUUAUUUUUUUUUUUGCCAAUUUAAACUCAUAAAUAAUUUUUUUUAAUUCAGUAUUUGUUAAAUGGACAGGUAGUGAUGACAGUAUAUUGGUCAGAGAGGACUUGGAUGGUCAAAUCAUGAUCUUCAUGAUGCUGAUAAGAAGCCAGUAAGUAUGACUUUAGAGGACAAAUUAUCAUCUCUUGUCACACCCCAACCAAUGGCGGAAACAUCGGGAUGAGACGAAGUGUGUAUAGAUUGCUAGAGACGUCAUAACACUAUGUGACAAUAUUUAAUUUAAUUCAAAUUUCAUUGCAAUACUAAAUGUCAUACAAAUUCAAAAGGAGAUAACAACAUUGUUUCAACAAAAAUCAUAACAACAAAA
Long non-coding RNA from Helianthus annuus (common sunflower), 2259 nucleotides. RefSeq lists it as uncharacterized. The record is from RefSeq and is a predicted model, not a curated record. The transcript has 10 exons. Lineage: Eukaryota; Viridiplantae; Streptophyta; Magnoliopsida; Asterales; Asteraceae.